AGUGAACGCUGGCGGUAGGCCUAACACAUGCAAGUCGAACGGCAGCACAGUAAGAGCUUGCUCUUACGGGUGGCGAGUGGCGGACGGGUGAGGAAUACAUCGGAAUCUACUUUUUCGUGGGGGAUAACGUAGGGAAACUUACGCUAAUACCGCAUACGACCUACGGGUGAAAGCAGGGGAUCUUCGGACCUUGCGCGAUUGAAUGAGACGAUGUCGGAUUAGCUAGUUGGCGGGGUAAAGGCCCACCAAGGCGACGAUCCGUAGCUGGUCUGAGAGGAUGAUCGGCCACACUGGAACUGAGACACGGUCCAGACUCCUACGGGGGCCAGCAGUGGGGAAUAUUGGACAAUGGGCGCAAGCCUGAUCCAGCCAUACCGCGUGGGUGAAGAAGGCCUUCGGGUUGCAAAGCCCUUUUGUUGGGAAAGAAAAGCAGCAGGUUAAUACCCCGCUGUUCUGACGGUACCCAAAGAAUAAGCACCGGCUAACUUCGUG
RNAcentral lists this ribosomal RNA (492 nucleotides) under uncultured bacterium. RNAcentral describes it as "partial 16S ribosomal RNA". It matches the Rfam family "Bacterial small subunit ribosomal RNA", at positions 29 to 507 of the family's 1533-position model. The record is from RNAcentral.